RNAcentral lists this ribosomal RNA (253 nucleotides) under uncultured bacterium. Its description in RNAcentral is "partial 16S ribosomal RNA". It matches the Rfam family "Bacterial small subunit ribosomal RNA", at positions 524 to 776 of the family's 1533-position model. The record is from RNAcentral.
UACGUAGGGGGCAAGCGUUGUCCGGAAUCAUUGGGCGUAAAGCGCGCGUAGGCGGCCCGGUAAGUCCGCUGUAAAAGUCCAGGGCUCAACCCUGGAAAGCCGGUGGAUACUGUCGGGCUAGAGUCCGGAAGAGGCGAGUGGAAUUCCCAGUGUAGAGGUGAAAUUCGUAGAUAUUGGGAAGAACACCGGUGGCGAAGGCGGCGACCUGGUCCGAUACUGACGCUGAGGCGCGAAAGCGUGGGGAGCAAACAGG